GAUGAACGCUGGCGGCGUGCCUAAUACAUGCAAGUCGAGCGAACAGAUAAGGAGCUUGCUCCUUUGACGUUAGCGGCGGACGGGUGAGUAACACGUGGGUAACCUAUCUAUAAGACUGGAAUAACUCCGGGAAACCGGGGCUAAUGCCGGAUAACAUGUUGAACCGCAUGGUUCUACAGUGAAAGGCGGCUUUGCUGUCACUUAUAGAUGGACCCGCGCCGUAUUAGCUAGUUGGUGAGGUAACGGCUCACCAAGGCAACGAUACGUAGCCGACCUGAGAGGGUGAUCGGCCACACUGGAACUGAGCCACGGUCCAGACUCCUACGGGAGGCAGCAGUAGGGAAUCUUCCGCAAUGGGCGAAAGCCUGACGGAGCAACGCCGCGUGAGUGAUGAAGGUCUUCGGAUCGUAAAACUCUGUUAUUAGGGAAGAACAAAUGCGUAAGUAACUGUGCGCGUCUUGACGGUACCUAAUCAGAAAGCCACGGCUAACUACGUG
RNAcentral lists this ribosomal RNA (497 nucleotides) under uncultured bacterium. RNAcentral's name for it is "partial 16S ribosomal RNA". It matches the Rfam family "Bacterial small subunit ribosomal RNA", at positions 28 to 507 of the family's 1533-position model. The record is from RNAcentral.